RNAcentral lists this ribosomal RNA (253 nucleotides) under uncultured bacterium. RNAcentral describes it as "partial 16S ribosomal RNA". It matches the Rfam family "Bacterial small subunit ribosomal RNA", at positions 524 to 776 of the family's 1533-position model. The record is from RNAcentral.
UACAGAGGGGGCAAGCGUUGUUCGGAAUUACUGGGCGUAAAGGGCGCGUAGGCGGCCUUCUAAGUCGAACGUGAAAUCUCCGGGCUUAACCCGGAAACUGCCAUUGAUACUAUUUGUCUUGAAUACUGUGGAGGUCAGCGGAAUAUGUCAUGUAGCGGUGAAAUGCUUAGAUAUGACAUAGAACACCAAUUGCGAAGGCAGCUGGCUACACAAAUAUUGACACUGAGGCACGAAAGCGUGGGGAUCAAACAGG